This 374-nucleotide ribosomal RNA is filed under the name uncultured organism. RNAcentral describes it as "partial 16S ribosomal RNA". It matches the Rfam family "Bacterial small subunit ribosomal RNA", at positions 527 to 896 of the family's 1533-position model. The record is from RNAcentral.
GAGGGGUGCAAACGUUAUUCGGAAUUACUGGGCGUAAAGGGUGUGUAGACGGCAAAGCAAGUCAAUUAUAAAAUCUCUUGGCUUAACCAAGAGUCUGUAGUUGAAACUGUUUAGCUAGAGGGCGGAAGAGAGAAGUGGAAUUCUCGGAGUAGCGGUAAAAUGCGUAGAUCUCGAGAGGAACACCGAUGGCGAAGGCAGCUUCUUGGUCCGCACCUGACGUUGAUGCACGAAAGCGUGGGGAGCAAACAGGGAUUAGAUACCCUGGUAGUCCACGCCGUAAACGAUGAUCACUAGAUGUCAGGCCCCGUUUUAGGGUUUGGUGUCGCAGCUAACGCGUUAAGUGAUCCGCCUGGGGAAGUACGGUCGCAAGAUUA